This 101-nucleotide non-coding RNA is filed under the name unclassified sequences. RNAcentral describes it as "PhotoRC-II RNA". It matches the Rfam family "PhotoRC-II RNA". The record is from RNAcentral.
UAACAAAGCGACAUCUUGACCCCUCAAACCGAGACCUAUAGGGUCAUUAAACUACGUCUCUAAUACCUUCACCUGAGGGUGGUGAAGGAAUACUUAACACA